AGAGUUUGAUCCUGGCUCAGAAUCAACGCUGGCGGCGUGCCUCAGACAUGCAAGUCGAACGCGAAAGUUCCCUUCGGGGAGCGAGUAGAGUGGCGCACGGGUGAGUAACACGUAGGUAAUCUACCUUCGGAUGGGGAAUAACACCGAGAAAUCGGUGCUAAUACCGCAUAAUGCAGCGGCACCUAAUGGUGACAGUUGUUAAAGCGGGGGAUCGCAAGACCUCGCGUCUGAAGAGGAGCCUGCGGCGGAUUAGCUAGUUGGUAGGGUAACGGCUUACCAAGGCGAUGAUCCGUAGCCGGCCUGAGAGGGCGGUCGGCCACACUGACACUGACAUACGGGUCAGACUCCUACGGGAGGCAGCAGUCGGGAAUUUUGGGCAAUGGGCGAAAGCCUGACCCAGCAACGCCGCGUGAAGGAUGAAAUCCCUCGGGAUGUAAACUUCGCAAGAACAGGAAGAAUAAGUGAGAGUUAACACCUCUUACGAUGACGGUACUGUUUGUAAGCUCCGGCUAACUCCGUGCCAGCAGCCGCGGUAAUACGGGGGGAGCAAGCGUUGUUCGGAUUUACUGGGCGUAAAGGGCGCGUAGGCGGCCACCGCAAGUCGAUUGUGAAAUCUCCGGGCUUAACCCGGAAAGGUCAACCGAUACUGCGGGGCUAGAGUGCAGAAGGGGCAACUGGAAUUCUCGGUGUAGCGGUGAAAUGCGUAGAUAUCGAGAGGAACACCUGCGGCGAAGGCGGGUUGCUGGGCUGACACUGACGCUGAAGUGCGAAAGCUAGGGGAGCGAACGGGAUUAGAUACCCUCGUAGUCC
RNAcentral lists this ribosomal RNA (810 nucleotides) under uncultured bacterium. Its description in RNAcentral is "bacterial SSU rRNA". It matches the Rfam family "Bacterial small subunit ribosomal RNA", at positions 8 to 796 of the family's 1533-position model. The record is from RNAcentral.